AAUCGUUGAGAUCUGUGUUGUAUUUUUAGCUCUAUAAUGUUAAUCACAUGUUAGUUUAAGCUUGAUGAUAAUAAUAAUAAUUUUUAAAAAGAAAACCUCAGUGAAAAGUAUUAGAAAUAAAUAAAAAUUUUAUCUAGGAAAUUAUGUAGAAGUGGAAAAUGGCGUGCCAGCAGCCGCGGUUAUACUCCUUCUUCAAGUUAAAAAUCAUAUACAAAAUUUUGUUUUACAAUUUUAAGGAAUUUUUUAAUUUUUUUAAGGUAGAAUUUUAAAUUUUUGGGAAAAACACUAAAGUAAAACGUGAAAUUUAUAUUAUGGACCAGGAUUAGAUACCCUGUUACUUAUAGCUAAGAAAUUUUGGAAUAGUAAUAAUUAUAAAAUUUAUCAGAUUUGGCGGCAAGAUAGCCUUUUAGAGGAACCUGCCCUGUAAACGAUGAACCACGAAAUACCUUGCUUUUAUUUGUUAUCAGUUUGUAUACCGCUGUUGUCAGUUAGUUUUUCUAAAAAACUUUCUUUAUGAUAAAGUCAUUUACUUCAAGUAAAGGUGCAGCUUAUGUAAAAGAUAGAGGUGGGUUACAUUUAUGAGAAUAAAACGAACAAUAUUUCUGAAAAUAAUUUUGAAGGCGGAUUUAAUUGUAAAGUUUAAAAAAACUUGAUUUGAGCUCUAUCUUGUGUACACACCGCCCGUCGCUCUAUUUUUUAAAAUAGAUAAGUCGUAACAAGGUAAGUGUAAUGGAAAUUGUACUUGA
Molecule: non-coding RNA, 746 nt
Filed under: Pyrgopsella youngi
Lineage: Eukaryota; Metazoa; Arthropoda; Thecostraca; Balanomorpha; Pyrgomatidae
Source: RNAcentral